Molecule: long non-coding RNA, 1029 nt
Filed under: Lingula anatina
Lineage: Eukaryota; Metazoa; Brachiopoda; Lingulata; Lingulida; Lingulidae
Description: uncharacterized LOC106179614, transcript variant X2
Source: RNAcentral
GAGAGGUGCUCAGACAGUACCAAGGUCAGAAGAAGACGGAGAAGGAUGUCCCGAGCCCUAUUACUGCUACUGCCACAUUUUGGUCGAAAAAAUGGCACUGAAGCCGGCAGCAGUAUCUGCAUGGUCAAGAUUUACUGCAUCCCUCCCUUACUGAGGAGAAGAGGAAACACAAAUUGAAGAGAGUUGUACAAAGUCCUAAUUUCUAUUUCAUGGAUGCAAAAUGCCCAGGCUGUUAUAAAAUUACCACAGUUUUUAGCCAUGCUCAGACAGUAUAGAAGUGCUUUGUGUUGGGUAUUCAACAGUGCUGUGUCAGCCAACUGGAGGAAAGGCCAGGUUAACAGAAGGGUGUUCAUUUGACAGUCUACUGGUGACAGCUAUUUGUACCGAUGAAAAGGUCUCAAAUUUGAUUUUGUUUUAAAUCUGUAAGACCAUUCUUUGAGGAUUCCUUCAACAACAACUUCCCAAUCUUAUCAUGCCUGUUGUAAUUUGCAUGACAAUAAGUCGACCAGCGCCACCUAUCUUCUUGACUGAUCACUUGACAGCUGACCACUGCGGGAGAAGGGCGUGGGACAGAUGUGGUGAAGUUGCAGAACUGAACAUUUCAUUCAACCUUAAAACGUGAGGGCUUGAAAAGGCGGAUAAAAAAAUUGACUUCCUUGACGAGAUCCUGUACUUAAUUGCAUCUGGAGGAAUCUCCCCAAGUCUUCUGGGUGUGCUUCAGGACAUGACUUCAGCAGAUUUAUGCACACGGACACACGCGAUCUCUCUCUCUCUCUCUCUCUCUCUCUCUCUCACAAACACACACACACACUGCAUUUACAAUAUGGUUAAAAGCGUACGUUUUGUUCCUGUGAUUUUCAAACAUUUUAGGCCCAUGUGUAAGAUUUUAACAUAUAGAAAUGCAUUAGUAAGAGCCAUUGGGUUUCGUUUUCAAAUAAUACCCAGAAAGCGAUCUUUUAAAAUUAUAUAAAGAAAAUGAUCACAUUUGUUUUUAAAUCAUAUCUUGAAAUGGAUCAUAUUAUAAUGUAA